This 326-nucleotide unclassified non-coding RNA is filed under the name uncultured fungus. Its description in RNAcentral is "sequence contains ITS1". The stretch from base 1 to 104 matches the Rfam family "5.8S ribosomal RNA", at positions 50 to 154 of the family's 154-position model. The record is from RNAcentral. Lineage: Eukaryota; Fungi.
GAAGUGCGAUAAGCAGUGCGAAUUGCAGAACCGUGAGUCAUCAGAUUUUUGAACGCAACUGGCGCCGUACGGGGUCACCCGUCGGCACGCCUGGUCCAGUGUCUUGUUCUCUCCUCACCAAAAUCCUAAUGCGAUAGAUGCCCUUCUAUUGCUAAACAUGAAAGCACUCUGCGCUCUGCGAGUGACUUCGGUCACACUCAAUGCAGCAGUCACACCUAGUGUGAACUCAUUGAGAGUAGAGGCAGUGCAGCAAUAGCUGCCAGUGCUUAGCUACACCAACUUAGGUACAGUAUCUGGGCUCAGGCGGGACCACCCGCUGAACUUAA